GCCCUGGUAGUGCAGUGGUUAAGCAUUCAGCUGCUAACUGAAAGGCUGGCGGUUCAAACCCACUCAGCGGCU
This 72-nucleotide transfer RNA is filed under the name Loxodonta africana (African savanna elephant). It matches the Rfam family "tRNA". From Rfam's summary of the family: Transfer RNA (tRNA) molecules are approximately 80 nucleotides in length. Their secondary structure includes four short double-helical elements and three loops (D, anti-codon, and T loops). Further hydrogen bonds mediate the characteristic L-shaped molecular structure. tRNAs have two regions of fundamental functional importance: the anti-codon, which is responsible for specific mRNA codon recognition, and the 3' end, to which the tRNAs corresponding amino acid is attached (by aminoacyl-tRNA synthetases). tRNAs cope with the degeneracy of the genetic code in two manners: having more than one tRNA (with a specific anti-codon) for a particular amino acid; and 'wobble' base-pairing, i.e. permitting non-standard base-pairing at the 3rd anti-codon position. Lineage: Eukaryota; Metazoa; Chordata; Mammalia; Proboscidea; Elephantidae. The record is from Rfam by way of RNAcentral.